Molecule: long non-coding RNA, 474 nt
Organism: Actinia tenebrosa (Australian red waratah sea anemone)
Lineage: Eukaryota; Metazoa; Cnidaria; Anthozoa; Actiniaria; Actiniidae
Source: RefSeq, a predicted model, not a curated record
AAAUAUUCGAAAAUACAUCAAAUUGGAAUGAGCGAACAAAACACCAUCCUCUGGAACCCGGGGUUAACAUUCUAUCACUCGUUUCUCGCUUCUUAGAAACGAGCGACAAAAUUUUACCCCUGGAUCUGAAAAAGGCGUUCCUGUAGUAGACUUUUGAAAGCGAAGAGUAUUUCCUCAAGAUACCAUGCUUGCUGCGUAGCCCUGAAGAAGGCCAAUGGUACAAAUCAUCAGUCCAAGUAAAACUCAACUUUUCAGUUCAUUAAACCAAGACCAUAAUUCCAGACAUCAAGUGCUGAACCGUCGUAUGGCAGCGCGAAGCAUUUACAGCUAUGGCGGAGAUUCGCUAUCCGAAGAUUUACAGACUGAUCAGGAAGCUCGACCGAAGCCUAAGGGAGAGGUUAGUCGGCCCCUAAACCAAAGAUGAUUAACCCACCAGAGCAAACUCGAAAUUUCAAUUGUGACGCUGAUUCCUUU